UACGUAGGGUGCAAGCGUUAAUCGGAAUUACUGGGCGUAAAGCGUGCGUAGACGGCUAUCUAAGUCGGGUGUGAAAGCCCCGGGCUCAACCUGGGAAUUGCAUUCGAGACUGAAUAGCUAGGGUACGGUAGAGGGAAGUGGAAUUUCCGGUGUAGCGGUGAAAUGCGUAGAUAUCUGGAGGAACACCGGUGGCGAAGGCGGCAUCCUGGACCGGUAUUGACGCUGAGGCGCGAAAGCCAGGGGAGCAAACGGG
RNAcentral lists this ribosomal RNA (253 nucleotides) under uncultured bacterium. RNAcentral describes it as "partial 16S ribosomal RNA". It matches the Rfam family "Bacterial small subunit ribosomal RNA", at positions 524 to 776 of the family's 1533-position model. The record is from RNAcentral.